Molecule: non-coding RNA, 374 nt
Organism: Paramuricea clavata
Lineage: Eukaryota; Metazoa; Cnidaria; Anthozoa; Malacalcyonacea; Plexauridae
Source: the annotation of a GenBank genome assembly
AAGCCAAGUGGUUAGCGCACUUGCCUUUCACCUCUGAGGCUGCAGGUUCGAAUCUCACUAAGUACCUUCUCAGUGCGACUCGAACCCAGUCCGCAUGUGAAAAGAGUAAAAGUCAACGCUCUGCCGAACGCCGUGGGUUUUCCCCGGGUACUCCGGUUUCCUCCCACAGGGAAAAGUCGACAGGGUGGGUUAGGUAAAAAGGGCCCACAGUAAUUGGCAUAUGCUGUUGUGGUGACCCUGCCCUAGUUGGCGAAGCUAAUAAAAAAAAUAAAAAAAAAGAGGCCAGUUGUCAAGUUCUAACCAGAACCUUGUGAAUGUAUAUCCUAGGGUACUGCCAUAUGUAUAGGUGCUUACUGUAUGGGUAAAUAGCUGAG